RNAcentral lists this transfer RNA (88 nucleotides) under Thermofilum sp. ex4484_15. RNAcentral's name for it is "tRNA-Ser". It matches the Rfam family "tRNA". From Rfam's summary of the family: Transfer RNA (tRNA) molecules are approximately 80 nucleotides in length. Their secondary structure includes four short double-helical elements and three loops (D, anti-codon, and T loops). The record is from RNAcentral. Lineage: Archaea; Thermoproteati; Thermoproteota; Thermoprotei; Thermofilales; Thermofilaceae.
GCCGGGGUGGCCGAGCGGACUAAGGCGCCGGGCUCGAGACCCGGUGCUCCUUUGGAGCGCGUGGGUUCGAAUCCCACCCCCGGCGCCA